AACGAACGCUGGCGGCAUGCCUAACACAUGCCAGUCGAACGAGACCUUCGGGUCUAGUGGCGCACGGGUGCGUAACGCGUGGGAACCUGCCCUUAGGUUCGGAAUAACUCCCCGAAAGGGGUGCUAAUACCGGAUAAUGUCUUCGGACCAAAGAUUUAUCGCCUUUGGAUGGGCCCGCGUUGGAUUAGCUAGUUGGUAGGGUAAAAGCCUACCAAGGCGACGAUCCAUAGCUGGUCUGAGAGGAUGAUCAGCCACACUGGGACUGAGACACGGCCCAGACUCCUACGGGAGGCAGCAGUGGGGAAUAUUGGACAAUGGGCGAAAGCCUGAUCCAGCAAUGCCGCGUGAGUGAUGAAGGCCUUAGGGUUGCAAAGCUCUUUUACCCGGGAUGAUAAUGACAGUACCGGGAGAAUAAGCUCCGGCUAACUCCGUG
This 433-nucleotide ribosomal RNA is filed under the name uncultured bacterium. RNAcentral's name for it is "partial 16S ribosomal RNA". It matches the Rfam family "Bacterial small subunit ribosomal RNA", at positions 29 to 507 of the family's 1533-position model. The record is from RNAcentral.